RNAcentral lists this ribosomal RNA (460 nucleotides) under uncultured bacterium. Its description in RNAcentral is "partial 16S ribosomal RNA". It matches the Rfam family "Bacterial small subunit ribosomal RNA", at positions 338 to 795 of the family's 1533-position model. The record is from RNAcentral.
CCUACGGGUGGCUGCAGUGAGGAAUAUUGGUCAAUGGUCGGGAGACUGAACCAGCCAAGCCGCGUGAGGGAUGAAGGUACAGAGUAUCGUAAACCUCUUUUGUCAGGGAACAAAGACGGGGACGUGUCCCCGGAUGAGUGUACCUGAAGAAAAAGCAUCGGCUAACUCCGUGCCAUCAGCCGCGGUAAUACGGAGGAUGCGAGCGUUAUCCGGAAUUAUUGGGUUUAAAGGGUGCGCAGGCGGCUCGGUAAGUCAGCGGUGAAAGCCCGGGGCUCAACCCCCGCCCGGCCGUGGAAACUGGCAGGCUCGAGUUGGAGAGAAGUAUGCGGAAGGCGCGGUGUAGCGGUGAAAUGCAUAGAUAUCGCGCAGAACUCCGAUUGCGAAGGCAGCAUGCCGGCUCCACACUGACGCUGAGGCACGAAAGCGUGGGUAUCGAACAGGAUUAGAUACCCUUGUAGUC